CAGUCGCCACGGUAAAACGAAGGGGGCUAGCGUUGUUCGGAUUUACUGGGCGUAAAGCGCACGUAGGCGGACUUUUAAGUCAGGGGUGAAAUCCCGGGGCUCAACCCCGGAACUGCCUUUGAUACUGGAAGUCUUGAGUAUGGUAGAGGUGAGUGGAAUUCCGAGUGUAGAGGUGAAAUUCGUAGAUAUUCGGAGGAACACCAGUGGCGAAGGCGGCUCACUGGACCAUUACUGACGCUGAGGUGCGAAAGCGUGGGGAGCAAACAGGAUUAGAUACCCCUGUAGUCCCUGUCUCUUAUAU
This 301-nucleotide ribosomal RNA is filed under the name uncultured bacterium. RNAcentral describes it as "partial 16S ribosomal RNA". It matches the Rfam family "Bacterial small subunit ribosomal RNA", at positions 509 to 809 of the family's 1533-position model. The record is from RNAcentral.